GUGCGAGGUUGUGCACCGGCCUCACGUCUCACGGCCACAAGGGGAGCCGCUAAGUAGUAUUCUGGCAUACUAUACUGUGGACCAUGCUUGAGUUUGUGGCUUGCACAUCAACCCUAAAACUACAUUGGUACCAGGUCAAAUAAAGGAGAAGCACCUGUUGGAGGUUUUGUGGUGGCCGACAAACACCACGUGCCCCACAGAGGGAUUCACAAGCUGUUGAUCUGUCAGACUACCGAACAUUGUGUCAAAAGGAGCGAUGCAUAACCCACACAUGCGGAUCAUCUAGCACGUGUGGCUGCCACGCGCCAUCCUCCAAUGUCUUCUUUUGCUGCCACGCGCGGCAUUUCUAGAGCCAACGACUACAUUGUCUUUAGCAUCGACUGUCCAACAUACUCCUAGAGUGAUGUGUGUCCUUUACGAGCCACUACAGUUUCGUUUGCCCAGUGUAUUUCGGUUCUUGCACUCUUUUUUUAGGAUAUGUAAUUUUGUACCGUUGUUUGUAUUAAGAAAUAAAAAAAAAUAGGCUAUUAGACUUUUGUCCAUGGCAGGAACCC
This is a long non-coding RNA of Juglans microcarpa x Juglans regia, 554 nucleotides long. RefSeq lists it as uncharacterized. The transcript is spliced from 2 exons. Lineage: Eukaryota; Viridiplantae; Streptophyta; Magnoliopsida; Fagales; Juglandaceae. The record is from RefSeq and is a predicted model, not a curated record.